UGGGGAAUAUUGCACCAUAGGCGCAAGCCUGAUUCAGCAACUGCGCGUGAACGAACAAGGUCUUCGGUUCGUAAGGGGCUGUUUCAGACCAGGAGACAAACGUGACACCCUGAUGAAUCCCCGGCUGACUACUUGCCAGCAGCCGCGGGAACACGUAGGUCGCAAGCGUUAUCCGGAAUUAUUGGGCGUAAAGAGCUUGUAGGCGGUUCGUCGCGUCUGGUGUGAAAGCCCAUCGCUUAACGGUGGGUUUGCGCCGGGUACGGGCGGGCUAGAGUGCAGUAGGGGAGACUGGAAUUCCCGGUGUAACGGUGGAAUGUGUAGAUAUCGGGAAGAACACCAAUGGCGAAGGCAGGUCUCUGGGCUGUUACGGACGCUGAGAAGCGAAAGCGUGGGGAGCGAACAGG
RNAcentral lists this ribosomal RNA (404 nucleotides) under Verrucomicrobiota bacterium. RNAcentral describes it as "Verrucomicrobia bacterium partial 16S ribosomal RNA". It matches the Rfam family "Bacterial small subunit ribosomal RNA", at positions 355 to 776 of the family's 1533-position model. The record is from RNAcentral. Lineage: Bacteria; Pseudomonadati; Verrucomicrobiota.